CGUAGGGGUGCAAGCGUUAUCCGGAAUUAUUGGGCGUAAAGAGCUCGUAGGCGGUCUGUCGCGUCUGCUGUGAAAACCCGAGGCUCAACCUCGGGCCUGCAGUGGGUACGGGCAGACUAGAGUGCGGUAGGGGAGAUUGGAAUUCCUGGUGUAGCGGUGGAAUGCGCAGAUAUCAGGAGGAACACCGAUGGCGAAGGCAGAUCUCUGGGCCGUAACUGACGCUGAGGAGCGAAAGCGUGGGGAGCGAACAGGAUUAGACUACCCUGGUAGUCCACGCCGUAAACGUUGGGAACUAGAUGUGGGGGCCAUUCCACGGCUUCCGUGUCGCAGCUAACGCAUUAAGUUCCCCGCCUGGGGAGUACGGCCGCAAGGCUA
RNAcentral lists this ribosomal RNA (375 nucleotides) under uncultured organism. Its description in RNAcentral is "bacterial SSU rRNA". It matches the Rfam family "Bacterial small subunit ribosomal RNA", at positions 526 to 896 of the family's 1533-position model. The record is from RNAcentral.